CGGCACGGGUGAGUAACACGUAUCCAACCUGCCGUCUACUCUUGGCCAGCCUUCUGAAAGGAAGAUUAAUCCAGGAUGGGAUCAUGAGUUCACAUGUCCGCAUGAUUAAAGGUAUUUUCCGGUAGACGAUGGGGAUGCGUUCCAUUAGAUAGUAGGCGGGGCAACGGCCCACCUAGUCAACGAUGGAUAGGGGUUCUGAGAGGAAGGUCCCCCACAUUGGAACUGAGACACGGUCCAA
RNAcentral lists this ribosomal RNA (238 nucleotides) under uncultured bacterium. Its description in RNAcentral is "partial 16S ribosomal RNA". It matches the Rfam family "Bacterial small subunit ribosomal RNA", at positions 100 to 334 of the family's 1533-position model. The record is from RNAcentral.